RNAcentral lists this ribosomal RNA (325 nucleotides) under uncultured bacterium. RNAcentral's name for it is "bacterial SSU rRNA". It matches the Rfam family "Bacterial small subunit ribosomal RNA", at positions 28 to 334 of the family's 1533-position model. The record is from RNAcentral.
GAUGAACGCUGGCGGCGUGCUUAACACAUGCAAGUCGAACGGAGUGCUCAUGACGGAGGAUUCGUCCAACGGAUUGAGUUACUUAGUGGCGGACGGGUGAGUAACGCGUGAGGAACCUGCCUCGGAGUGGGGAAUAACAGACCGAAAGGCCUGCUAAUACCGCAUAAUGCAACGGAAUCGCAUGACUCUGUUGCCAAAGAUUUAUCGCUACUGAGAUGGCCUCGCGUCUGAUUAGCUAGUUGGCGGGGUAACGGCCCACCAAGGCGACGAUCAGUAGCCGGACUGAGAGGUUGGCCGGCCACAUUGGGACUGAGACACGGCCCAG